UACGGAGGGUGCAAGCGUUAAUCGGAAUCACUGGGCGUAAAGCGCACGUAGGCGGCUUUGUAAGUCAGACGUGAAAGCCCACGGCUCAACCGUGGAAUUGCGUUUGAUACUGCAUAGCUUGAGUCCUGGAGAGGGAAGCGGAAUUCCGGGUGUAGGAGUGAAAUCCGUAGAGAUCCGGAGGAACACCGGUGGCGAAGGCGGCUUCCUGGACAGGUACUGACGCUGAGGUGCGAAAGCGUGGGGAGCAAACAGGAUUAGAUACCCGCGUAGU
RNAcentral lists this ribosomal RNA (271 nucleotides) under uncultured bacterium. RNAcentral describes it as "partial 16S ribosomal RNA". It matches the Rfam family "Bacterial small subunit ribosomal RNA", at positions 524 to 794 of the family's 1533-position model. The record is from RNAcentral.